AUGAACAAGAAGAAAAAAAAAGAAAAGAAAAAUACAAGAAUUUUCGGUGCAAUGAUGAAAUAGACUUAAAAGUCAAGGAGAAGUUGGAAAAACAACUGGUCGAACAACAACUCGUUACCAACGAACUUUCUUCGAUCGUCGCUGGGGAGAUGUUCACCGAAGAUUGCAGAACUUUUAUUUUUGGGACUUUAACUACAUACUGGCGUUGAAAACACAUUUCCAUCAUUGUCAUGGAAGAAACCACAAACUACGAAAACACGAAAUUCAUAUCAGCUGACAAAACGUUUCAAGCGAGAACGUUCGAUCAAGAACAAAUAGACUCGAAA
This 326-nucleotide unclassified non-coding RNA is filed under the name Bombus terrestris (buff-tailed bumblebee). Its description in RNAcentral is "misc RNA ENSBTSG00005027660.1". Lineage: Eukaryota; Metazoa; Arthropoda; Insecta; Hymenoptera; Apidae. The record is from RNAcentral.